ACAAGUCAAAUAGGCAAAUUUGCUAAUUGUGUACAACUAUAGAACCAAACUACAGCGCAUAGUGGUUCUACUAACUUGAAAUAGGCAAAUUAAAGUCGCAGUGUACAACUAUAGAACCAAACUACAGCGUAUAGUGGUUCUACUAACUUAAAAAACUAAAGUUCUGUUUUAAAAAUGUAUAUUAUCUGCACACGGAACUUUAUAACUGGACCGAAUCUCACACUAUAUAAUUUGCUUUCUAAUUCUAAAUAUACAAGUACUCUGGAGUAUCAAGAUUGAGCAAGGGCAGUGCAGUGGCUUUAAGGAAAUAUUUGUUAAAAUCGGUGAAUGUCCACGGUUUAGGUAUAUAUUUAAUUAGUAUUUGUAAGAACAAAGAACUGUUUUCCAGUAGUGAGGUAAUAUGAGAUAACACACACAAUGAUGACUAAGGUUAGUAUCUUGUACAUUAACUAUAUCAAUCUACAUGAAGUUGCCUAUGCGACUCUGGGACUAGCUUGUUAGGUAUCAGCCCAUUACAAUGGUAGCAUGGACUUUGGUGAUCCAAAAUAUAUAAGGAUAAUAAUUGUAUGUUUAGACAAUUAUUAUAAAAGAUAUGUCUUGGUCACAAAGUUGGAAGGCCCAGUUGGAAUUGGAUUCCGAUUUGAGUUGAAGAUUUCAGAAUUGGAUUCCAAUUGCAGUUAGGUAUUUCAGAGUUAGAGUUAGAUUCUGAUUUGUCUAAGUUUGAGAUGGCUAUAUAUACAUAGUCAUAUUGUGUUUGAUAGGUGUGCUCAAGAUGUAGACUUAGGUAUCGCUCGAGGGCGGAUACUUGGGUAGUAGGCUUGAGUAUCCAAGUUUGGUUGAUUGUAUUAUUGAUAACGAUUUGAUUAAUAAUACAAGUUGGGACGUGGGUUUUCCGCGUCAAAUAUAUUGUUGUGUGUGUGCUUCGCAUUAGAAGUUGAAUCUCGUAUUUUUAAUCCUAACAAGUGGUAUCAGAGCCAGGUUAGGAUCGUGAUUGAUGGGGUUGAGGAUAAGUUCGAGAUUUAAUUGAUAAUGGAAAGUAUAAUGAAGGAUUUGCUGGCAAGAAGCCGCUAAAGUGGAAAGAGACAAAGUUACGUGCAGUAUGACGGUUGACUUGCACCGUGGAUCAAUCAUGAUGGACUCAAGGUGGAAGAAGAUUGGAUCGUUCUUCUAGAGGCCGGAAGAUUGUGAAAGCAAGGAUCGGGUGACAUGGAAGGGCACUCGUGCUUGAUGCACGUGAUUUUGUUGAUGGGUAAAGUCUGGAAGAACGAGAAGCGGAGAUUCUUGUUCGAGGGGAGGCAUUGGCGGAUGGACGUCGGUGUCUUGAUCGUGAUUGUUGUUUGUAUUGGGCUGAAGGGGAGGAUUGUUAGGUAUCAGCCCAUUACAAUGGUAGCAUGGACUUUGGUGAUCCAAAAUAUAUAAGGAUAACAAUUGUAUGUUUAGACAAUUAUUAUAAAAGAUAUGUCUUGGUCACAAAGUUGGAAGGCCCAGUUGGAAUUGGAUUCUGAUUUGAGUUAAAGAUUUCAGAAUUGGAUUCCAAUUGCAGUUAGGUAUUUCAGAGUUAGAGUUAGAUUUUGAUUUGUCUAAGUUUGAGAUGGCUAUAUAUACAUAGUCAUAUUGUGUUUGAUAGGUGUGCUCAAGAUGUAGACUUAGGUAUCGCUCGAGGGCGGAUACUUGGGUAGUAGGCUUGAGUAUCCAAGUUUGGUUGAUUGUAUUAUUGAUAACGAUUUGAUUAAUAAUACAAGUUGGGACGUGGGUUUUCCGCGUCAAAUAUAUUGUUGUGUGUGCGCUUCGCAUUAGAAGUUGAAUC
Molecule: long non-coding RNA, 1807 nt
Filed under: Daucus carota (carrot)
Lineage: Eukaryota; Viridiplantae; Streptophyta; Magnoliopsida; Apiales; Apiaceae
Description: long non-coding RNA (DCAR_LNC000663)
Source: RNAcentral